Non-coding RNA from Hypoxylon cercidicola, 100 nucleotides. NCBI's taxonomy places the organism in Eukaryota, Fungi, Ascomycota, Sordariomycetes, Xylariales, Hypoxylaceae. The record is from the annotation of a GenBank genome assembly.
GCCCGACUAGCUCAUCGGUAGAGCGCCUCACUAGUAUCCCCUUUCGAAGGAAAGAUACAUCCAAAUGAGGAGGCAACAGGUUCGAUUCCUGUGUUGGGCA